AACAUCGCCUCUUGCAAGAAUAAGAGGUCCAGCCUGCCCAGUGACCAUGUGUUCAACGGCCGCAGUAUUUUGACUGUGCGAAGGUAGCGUAAUCACUUGUCUUUUAAAUGGAGACCUGUAUGAAAGGUUAAACGAGGGCUCAACUGUCUCCUUUUUCCAGUCAGUGAAAUUGAUCUCCCCGUGCAGAAGCGGGGAUAUAAACAUAAGACGAGAAGACCCUAUGGAGCUUUAGACGCUAGAGCAGACCAUGUUAAAGACCCCAAAAUAAAGGACUAAACUGAUUGAAUCCUGCUCCCCUGUCUUCGGUUGGGGCGACCGUGAGGAAAUAAAAAACCCUUCACGUGGAAUGGGAGCACUCCCACAACUAAGAGCCACAGUUCUAGGUAACAGAAUAUUUGACCAAUAGAGAUCCGGCAAAGCCGAUUUACGGACCAAGUUACCCUAGGGAUAACAGCGCAAUCCCCUUUUAGAGCCCAUAUCGACAAGGGGGCUUACGACCUCGAUGUUGGAUCGGGACAUCCUAACGGCGCAA
This 532-nucleotide ribosomal RNA is filed under the name Psettodes belcheri (spottail spiny turbot). Its description in RNAcentral is "partial 16S ribosomal RNA". It matches the Rfam family "Bacterial large subunit ribosomal RNA", at positions 1812 to 2558 of the family's 2925-position model. The record is from RNAcentral. Lineage: Eukaryota; Metazoa; Chordata; Actinopteri; Pleuronectiformes; Psettodidae.